This 301-nucleotide ribosomal RNA is filed under the name uncultured bacterium. RNAcentral's name for it is "partial 16S ribosomal RNA". It matches the Rfam family "Bacterial small subunit ribosomal RNA", at positions 509 to 807 of the family's 1533-position model. The record is from RNAcentral.
CAGUAGCCGCGGGAAUACGUGGGGUGCGAGCGUUAAUCGGAAUUACUGGGCGUAAAGCGUGCGCAGGCGGUUUUGUAAGACAGGCGUGAAAUCCCCGGGCUCAACCUGGGAAUGGCGCUUGUGACUGCAAAGCUAGAGUGCGGCAGAGGGGGAUGGAAUUCCGCGUGUAGCAGUGAAAUGCGUAGAUAUGCGGAGGAACACCGAUGGCGAAGGCAAUCCCCUGGGCCUGCACUGACGCUCAUGCACGAAAGCGUGGGGAGCAAACAGGAUUAGAUACCCCCGUAGUCCCUGUCUCUUAUAC